This 264-nucleotide ribosomal RNA is filed under the name unidentified marine bacterioplankton. Its description in RNAcentral is "partial 16S ribosomal RNA". It matches the Rfam family "Bacterial small subunit ribosomal RNA", at positions 47 to 339 of the family's 1533-position model. The record is from RNAcentral.
CCUAACACAUGCAAGUCGAACGAACUCUUCGGAGUUAGUGGCGCACGGGUGCGCAACGCGUGGGAAUCUGCCCUUAGGUACGGAAUAACUCAGGGAAACUUGUGCUAAUACCGUAUGAUGUCGAGAGACCAAAGAUUUAUCGCCUAGGGAUGAGCCCGCGUUGGAUUAGCUAGUUGGUGGGGUAAAAGCCUACCAAGGCUACGAUCCAUAGCUGGUCUGAGAGGAUGAUCAGCCACACUGGGACUGAGUCACGGCCCAGACUCC